This 253-nucleotide ribosomal RNA is filed under the name uncultured bacterium. Its description in RNAcentral is "partial 16S ribosomal RNA". It matches the Rfam family "Bacterial small subunit ribosomal RNA", at positions 524 to 776 of the family's 1533-position model. The record is from RNAcentral.
UACGUAGGGUGCAAGCGUUAAUCGGAAUUACUGGGCGUAAAGCGUGCGCAGGCGGUUUGAUAAGUCAGAUGUGAAAUCCCCGAGCUCAACUUGGGAACUGCGUUUGGAACUGUCAGACUAGAGUGCGUCAGAGGGGGGUGGAAUUCCGCGUGUAGCAGUGAAAUGCGUAGAGAUGCGGAGGAACACCGAUGGCGAAGGCAGCCCCCUGGGAUGACACUGACGCUCAUGCACGAAAGCGUGGGGAGCAAACAGG